RNAcentral lists this ribosomal RNA (505 nucleotides) under Salmonella enterica subsp. enterica serovar Enteritidis. RNAcentral describes it as "partial 23S ribosomal RNA". It matches the Rfam family "Bacterial large subunit ribosomal RNA", at positions 688 to 1191 of the family's 2925-position model. Lineage: Bacteria; Pseudomonadati; Pseudomonadota; Gammaproteobacteria; Enterobacterales; Enterobacteriaceae. The record is from RNAcentral.
CCGGGCGUUAAGUUGCAGGGUAUAGACCCGAAACCCGGUGAUCUAGCCAUGGGCAGGUUGAAGGUUGGGUAACACUAACUGGAGGACCGAACCGACUAAUGUUGAAAAAUUAGCGGAUGACCUGUGGCUGGGGGUGAAAGGCCAAUCAAACCGGGAGAUAGCUGGUUCUCCCCGAAAGCUAUUUAGGUAGCGCCUCGUGAAUUCAUCUCCGGGGGUAGAGCACUGUUUCGGCUAGGGGGCCAUCCCGGCUUACCAACCCGAUGCAAACUGCGAAUACCGGAGAAUGUUAUCACGGGAGACACACGGCGGGUGCUAACGUCCGUCGUGAAGAGGGAAACAACCCAGACCGCCAGCUAAGGUCCCAAAGUCAUGGUUAAGUGGGAAACGAUGUGGGAAGGCCCAGACAGCCAGGAUGUUGGCUUAGAAGCAGCCAUCAUUUAAAGAAAGCGUAAUAGCUCACUGGUCGAGUCGGCCUGCGCGGAAGAUGUAACGGGGCUAAACCAUG